GAUGAACGCUGGCGGCGUGCCUAAUACAUGCAAGUCGAGCGAACAGAUAAGGAGCUUGCUCCUUUGACGUUAGCGGCGGACGGGUGAGUAACACGUGGAUAACCUACCUAUAAGACUGGGAUAACUUCGGGAAACCGGAGCUAAUACCGGAUAACAUAUUGAACCGCAUGGUGCAAUAGUGAAAGGCGGCUUUGCUGUCACUGAUAGAUGGAUCCGCGCCGGAUUAGCUAGUUGGUAAGGUAACGGCUUACCAAGGCAACGAUACGUAGCCGACCUGAGAGGGUGAUCGGCCACACUGGAACUGAGACACGGUCCAGACUCCUACGGGAGGCAGCAGUAGGGAAUCUUCCGCAAUGGGCGAAAGCCUGACGGAGCAACGCCGCGUGAGUGAUGAAGGUCUUCGGAUCGUAAAACUCUGUUAUCAGGGAAGAGCAAAUGUGUAAGUAACUGUGCACAUCUUGACGGUACCUGAUCAGAAAGCCACGGCUAACUACGUG
This 497-nucleotide ribosomal RNA is filed under the name uncultured bacterium. RNAcentral describes it as "partial 16S ribosomal RNA". It matches the Rfam family "Bacterial small subunit ribosomal RNA", at positions 28 to 507 of the family's 1533-position model. The record is from RNAcentral.